RNAcentral lists this ribosomal RNA (479 nucleotides) under bacterium Urfcr27. RNAcentral describes it as "bacterial SSU rRNA". It matches the Rfam family "Bacterial small subunit ribosomal RNA", at positions 106 to 594 of the family's 1533-position model. The record is from RNAcentral.
GUGAGUAAUACGUGAGUGACCUGCCUUUGACUCUCGGAUAAGCCUGGGAAACUGGGUCUAAUACCGGAUGCGACUACUGCCCGCAUGGGCUGGUGGUGGAAAGGGUUAUGUACUGGUCUUAGAUGGGCUCACGGCCUAUCAGCUGGUUGGUGGGGUAAUGGCCUACCAAGGCGACGACGGGUAGCCGGCCUGAGAGGGUGACCGGCCACACUGGGACUGAGACACGGCUUAGACUCCUACGGGAGGCAGCAGUGGGGAAUAUUGCACAAUGGGCGCAAGCCUGAUGCAGCGACGCCGCGUGAGGGAUGACGGCCUUCGGGUUGUAAACCUCUUUCAGCAGGGAAAAAACGGAAGUGACGGUACCUGCAGAAGAAGCGCCGGCUAACUACGUGCCAUCAACCGCGGUAAUACGUAUGGCGCAUGCGUUGUCCGGAAUUAUUGGGCGUAAAGAGCUCGUAGGCGGCUUGUCGCGUCUGCUG